This 778-nucleotide long non-coding RNA is filed under the name Nicotiana tabacum (common tobacco). RNAcentral describes it as "long non-coding RNA (NTAB_LNC003150)". The record is from RNAcentral. Lineage: Eukaryota; Viridiplantae; Streptophyta; Magnoliopsida; Solanales; Solanaceae.
AGACCUGGAGAAAUCAGAGACGGCUAAAAGAAAAUACUAUACACUGAAAAGGUCUGAAAAAUCAGGAGAAAAUACAAAAAAACACCACAAUACACUGUUACAUUAAAGCUUUGUGUGUAUUUCUUUGGGUUUUUAAAAGUUGGAAGUAAUCGUGGAUUCAUUCUAGGUUUGAAAUGGAUUAAAGAAGCUGAAUUUGUUGUUGUCAUUGUGCUGGAGUGUAUAUGUUUCUACUGUUAAACUUCUCAUUCUUUCUUCUGCUCUAAUUGCACCAGGUACUCUUCUGAAACUAUGGUUGGAAAUGAAGCCUGAUUGAGUUUCGUGUAAAGAUCUGUAAAUCGAGCUGAAGUUGAAUGAAAAGCAUUAGUCCCUGUUGUUGGUUGCUGCUUGAUUUUGCCAUAUUCUUAUUCAUGUUUUAGUCUAGCUUAUUGUGAAUACUCCAUUUCCUGAUAUACAUUUGGUUUUGAGUGCUGGAUUUAGACCUUGUGUGAAUACAGCUGAUUCAAGAGUGUUUUGGACUUGGUAGAAUAUGUAUUAAUUAAGGACUAUGAUUCCUAGUUUAAUUAGUUAAGGCUGGCUGGUUUGGAUGUAUGUUUCAUAGCUUUGGUAAAUUCUAAGUUCAGACCCUUUAUGUUAUUGGUCUAGCAAGCUUGAUUUAGGCUUAUUUCCCACUGAUUAUUUUAGAUUUGCUCCUAUAUCGCUUGAAAUACAGUACAGGGGUUUUAGAGUUGUCAUUUUGCUCAUGUAAACCUUGAAUCUUAAAAAGACUUUCGAAUGGGAU